This is a long non-coding RNA of Peromyscus eremicus (cactus mouse), 1148 nucleotides long. RefSeq lists it as uncharacterized. The transcript has 5 exons. The record is from RefSeq and is a predicted model, not a curated record. Lineage: Eukaryota; Metazoa; Chordata; Mammalia; Rodentia; Cricetidae.
CCGGCCAUGACAAGCAGCAUGUGAAGAUGCCAGUAAGCCACGAGCCACGUGGAAAGGAGAACACUGAGGAACAAAGAUAUAAUCCACCCACAGUAACAGAGUUACUAAGUUACUUCUGUCAUUAGACCGUAGCCAUUGAUAGAAGAAAGGAUCCCAGGAGAGUCCAAUCACCUGUUGUUUAUCGUGAGCAUAUCGCACAUAAAAGCAGAACGUUAAGGCUGGAAGAUCUGAAAGGGAAGUCGGUAUUGUGGUGUCCAAGCAGCAAAGCUGCAGAAGGAGUGGACUGUGAAUUCACAUACAUGGUGCCAUAGAAAAAGCAUUCUUACAAGCAUCCUCUCAUCAAAAACAGAGCUUCAACUUCUGAAAGGUCCUACUAUCAAACCUGCACUGGGCACGUGCGUCCACAUCUGUGUCUCUUCCUCAGUCCUCUCCACCUUAACUAUCUUCAGGCAACAGUCCGGGAAAUUGGUCACCACGGCAGACCUCCUAUGGGAACCUUGAGAGAGCUUGUAAGAGACAGAGCACGAGACAGCAUCUGGUCUUCCUUGAUGCAGCAGAAGGAAACAGACAGAGGAACAAGGCAUAGCAUUCACCAUGCAUUUCACCUAGCACACAGGGGCUUACAGAACAGCUGCUAGUAAGGGAACAAGUGAACGAAUGGAGGAGAUAUCAGGACUUUGUCUCCAGUCUGCUCCAGGGGCCAGGAUGACUAUCCCAGCUUCCUGUGUCACCCUGGAAAGAGGAAACAAUUUCUUUCCCUUUAAACUCCUUGAUUUUCAGUCAUGGCCCCAGUAACAUAAAACAGAUCAACAAAAGGAAAGUCACAAGUUUAUUGAACACAAGUCAGUGGGCAAACUGCUUGCUGUUCAAGCAUGAGGGCCUGCAUCCCGAUCCCCAACAGCCAUGUCAAAGUUGGCCAUGAUGGCAUAUACCUGUAACUCCAUCCAGUGCUGGGGUUGGGGACAGGCAAAGACAGGGGUAUCUCUGUAGCCAGCCAGGCUAGAUGAGUGAAUGAGUACCAGGGUCAGGGAGAGACCCUGUCUCAAAAAAUAAGGUAGAUAGCAAAGAGAAAGAUACCAGAAACUGACAACCUGUAGCUUCCACAGAAGCAUGCAUAGGUGAGUGCAUACACAUACACACAUACACCA